UACGGAAGGGGCGAGCGUUGUUCGGAAUCAUUGGGCGUAAAGGGCGCGUAGGUGGUUCUGUGUGUCUACUGUGAAAGCGUACAGCUCAACUGUAUUUUGUCGGUAGAAACUGCAGGACUUGAGGCUGGGAGGGGCUGGUGGAAUUCCCUGUGUAGCGGUGAAAUGCGUAGAGAUGGGGGAGAACACUCGUGGCGAAGGCGGCCAGCUAGACCAGUUCUGACACUGAGGCGCGACAGCGUGGGGAGCAAACAGG
Molecule: ribosomal RNA, 253 nt
Filed under: uncultured bacterium
Lineage: Bacteria
Description: partial 16S ribosomal RNA
Rfam family: Bacterial small subunit ribosomal RNA
Source: RNAcentral